RNAcentral lists this ribosomal RNA (301 nucleotides) under uncultured bacterium. Its description in RNAcentral is "partial 16S ribosomal RNA". It matches the Rfam family "Bacterial small subunit ribosomal RNA", at positions 509 to 807 of the family's 1533-position model. The record is from RNAcentral.
CAGUCGCCACGGGAAUACAGAGGGUGCGAGCGUUAAUCGGAUUUACUGGGCGUAAAGCGUGCGUAGGCGGCUUUUUAAGUCGGAUGUGAAAUCCCUGAGCUUAACUUAGGAAUUGCAUUCGAUACUGGGAAGCUAGAGUAUGGGAGAGGAUGGUAGAAUUCCAGGUGUAGCGGUGAAAUGUGUAGAGAUCUGGAGGAAUACCGAUGGCGAAGGCAGCCAUCUGGCCUAAUACUGACGCUGAGGUACGAAAGCAUGGGGAGCAAACAGGAUUAGAGACCCCAGUAGUCCCUGUCUCUUAUAC